Molecule: ribosomal RNA, 253 nt
Filed under: uncultured bacterium
Lineage: Bacteria
Description: partial 16S ribosomal RNA
Rfam family: Bacterial small subunit ribosomal RNA
Source: RNAcentral
UACGAAGGGGGCUAGCGUUGUUCGGAAUUACUGGGCGUAAAGCGCACGUAGGCGGAUAUUUAAGUCAGGGGUGAAAUCCCAGAGCUCAACUCUGGAACUGCCUUUGAUACUGGGUAUCUUGAGUAUGGAAGAGGUGAGUGGAAUUCCGAGUGUAGAGGUGAAAUUCGUAGAUAUUCGGAGGAACACCAGUGGCGAAGGCGGCUCACUGGUCCAUUACUGACGCUGAGGUGCGAAAGCAUGGGGAGCAAACAGG